RNAcentral lists this ribosomal RNA (253 nucleotides) under uncultured bacterium. RNAcentral describes it as "partial 16S ribosomal RNA". It matches the Rfam family "Bacterial small subunit ribosomal RNA", at positions 524 to 776 of the family's 1533-position model. The record is from RNAcentral.
UACGUAGGGUGCAAGCGUUAAUCGGAAUUACUGGGCGUAAAGCGUGCGCAGGCGGUUUUGUAAGUCUGAUGUGAAAUUCCCGGGCUCAACCUGGGAAUUGCAUUGGAGACUGCAAGGCUAGAAUCUGGCAGAGGGGGGUAGAAUUCCACGUGUAGCAGUGAAAUGCGUAGAGAUGUGGAGGAACACCGAUGGCGAAGGCAGCCCCCUGGGUCAAGAUUGACGCUCAUGCACGAAAGCGUGGGGAGCAAACAGG